Molecule: long non-coding RNA, 2694 nt
Filed under: Panax ginseng (ginseng)
Lineage: Eukaryota; Viridiplantae; Streptophyta; Magnoliopsida; Apiales; Araliaceae
Description: long non-coding RNA (PGIN_LNC002174)
Source: RNAcentral
ACAAGUAAAAACAUAUUGUUAACACUUCCUAAUUUCCCCCAAAUUAUAAGGGUUUCCACUAGCAGUGCUAGAGAACAUAAGAAAUUCUUCACAUUGUAUUGAAUCCUCUCAGAACAGAAAUUUAAAAGAAAGAAGUGAGAAUGAUGAGAACAAGGUUGCUAUGGUUCACAUUGGGCUUUGGAUCCUCAACAACUACAAUUACCAACUUCGUCUUCAAAGAUCUCUAGGUUCCAAGACUGGGUCAAUCGUCAAAUUCUCUUGCAUAAUUAUCAGAUAAUUUCAGUUUGGGUUUUCAAUUUAUAUUCAUAUUUCUCUCCUCCAGCCCUAAUUUGGUCUGAUUGCCAUUAUCUUUCUCCUGUUUCUCUCCCCCCUCUGACAAACCCUAAAUUUCAAAGAAGAAUCUAGCUGGUUUGUUAUGGCGGCUGUGUGUUCGGAUUUUGCCUCCUCCAUCGUUGAUAAUAAAUUAAAAGUUAGUUUCUAACUGUGUAUAUUUGCUGUUAAGAAACUCAAUCUUAUUGGUACCUAAUUGUGGGUAAUUUCAUUGUACAUGUUGUUUGGUAAUAAUUAGGGAAGUACACAAUGUGUUUGAUAAAUUGUCUACUUGAACUAGAUAGUCAGCAACUCAGCUUGAAUUGCUUCAAUUUGAACAAAACUUGUAAUGACCAAACAUCAAGGAAAAUUUGUACAUGAAUCUCUGUAAUUGUUAGUGUUGGGGAUAAAGUUUUCUGCAUAACCAAUAAGAUGAAGCUUUUACAUUAAACCUCUUUGAUGUUUUAUGCUUUGGCAACUCCUAAAGUUUUGGACAAAUACCAUUAUAAGUUGGUGAAAGAAAAUGAAAUUGCAAUGAAUGAUUUAAAGGAAUUAAUACUUCACAUUUUUGAAUGAGUAACUCUUGGAUGACUAUCUUAAUUAGUUCAUAUAGGUGCAGCAUGUUCAGUAGGUGUAAUUGGUUGAAAGAUUUGGUAUGAAGAUAGUAUCUUCAUUAAUGCAGUUGACAAAAACCUUAUUUUGUAUCUCUACAUGUAUUGGUUUAAUAAGUUGUAGAGUUCCAACUCGAUCAUGUUUUUUCUUGAUUAAUGGUCUUAUAUGACAUUUAAUAGUAAAAAUUGUAAAGAAACAAGUCCUGGAAAAUGUUACUUAGAUGUGGGUACAAAAACUAUACUUGUUCAUCAACCUAGUUUCAAUAGACUUUAAGUGAUUCAAAUAUGUCAUUUAUAAUUUUUAAAUUGUAUUGUUUUGGCUAGAAGUACACAGCUGGUAUACUUUGUUAUUCUUUUAGUUUUGGCUAGGAGAGUUAUGGACAUAGAGGCCAAUUAUCAUUAUUCGGAUGAGUUAGUAUGAGGAAGAAAGAGUAAGUGUUUUAGGGAUUACUAAUCGGUCGAGGUGAGUUAAAAUUAAAUUUGGAUGCUAUUUUGUCUUGUAGUUUUAGCAUUAUGAGAGACAAUUUUAUAGCUGAGAAUGAUUUGCUUGCUGUGUGGAAGUUCACUUUUGGUUUUUUUGGGUUUUAUCUGAAAUGCAUAUUUUGAAUAUAUUUGGUUUGAAAUAUUUUGGUUGUUUUGUUGAGUUCUUGGUGAACUUGUUAUAAAGUCAGGAAAAUAAUAUAAAUAAUGAUAGAUCCAAAUUUGCCAAGCUAAACAAAGUGACAUGGAAGUGAGUAUUAGCUUUGAAUAAUUUGAAUAUUGUUAUUUGUUGAGUUCAUGGUUUACUUUUGGCCAUUUAAAUUUCAGUACUUGGGCUCUGUAUAAAUUUAAAUUAGAUUUGGCAGCUAUUACGUUUAUGCGUACUUAUCUCUUUGAUAUUAUUGACAAGCCUCAAUAAAGGGACAAUCCAUGUAGAUGCACCAGGGGUGUAGAAAAAGUCGCUCCUUCACAAGACAAAUCCGCCAAAAUAUAAUCUAUGGCUAAAACCUGGAGCACCAAAACUGAAGAGUAUGCAUAAGAUAAGUUUUCAUUGCAUUUUGACAAACACUAAAUUAUACUUCUCAAUUUUCAAGCCUAAAAAUCGUGGUAAAAAUUGUACACCCAAAAUAAAUGCAGUGACUUGGAUGAAAGUUUAGAUGCAGUGACUUGGAUGAAAGUUUAGUGAGAUGAACAUGUACGGGAAAUGAGAGAGAUUGCUGCUAGGAAUCUUUCACCAUCUUUUAGUGGGUUGGUAGAAAAUAAUAGGUAGAAAAACCAGUGCCAAUGGGCUAUAAGAUGUGUUCCUAAGGAAAUCUAUGCAGAAGUUGAUUGGUUUGGUAAUGAUGAAAAUAGGUUUAGUAUGAGGCGAUUUAGACAAGAGAAGAUUAUGUGAAAUGUGUGGGCAUUUCUCUCUUUUUCCUUAAUGUUGUUAUUUCUGUUCAAUGACAACAAACACCACUCUUAUGCACAAAUAUUUGGAAUUGAUAAUUCACUCUGAAGGUUUUGAUACACCUCAAAAUUUACUUAUGCAAAGUUUUAACGAAUUGCUAGUCCAUGUAAUAUCACAAUGUUGCUUGGUGUUCAUUCUAGGUUAAAUCAGUAAGAAAUUGCAUUUUGAUGUGGUGUGGAACUAUAUUUUUCUACUGAUUCCUGGCUUUGUGGACAUUUCAGUUUCUACUAAUUUAAACAAUUUGCCACUUGCAAAUUGUUGGACCAUAAAAAAAACCUUGUCGCAUUGGGUCACGUCUAUUCCUCCGCUGAAGGAUAGUUAAUUCAUGGAGUUGCACUCGGAGCG